AUGGCAGUUAAAACAUACUCCAAGUCGAAAAAGUGUAUUCGUAAAAAUACUUGGAAUAAACAGACUUAUUUUUCCAUAGUACAAUCUUAUUCUUUAAUAAAAUCACCAUCAUUUUCUAGUGGCAAUGAGCAUCGAAAACAAAAGUGUUUUCAUGGGCAAACAAAUAAUUAUGUUUUGGAAUAA
This 183-nucleotide ribosomal RNA is filed under the name Triticum aestivum (bread wheat). Its description in RNAcentral is "partial small subunit ribosomal RNA". The record is from RNAcentral. Lineage: Eukaryota; Viridiplantae; Streptophyta; Magnoliopsida; Poales; Poaceae.